Molecule: ribosomal RNA, 900 nt
Filed under: uncultured bacterium
Lineage: Bacteria
Description: bacterial SSU rRNA
Rfam family: Bacterial small subunit ribosomal RNA
Source: RNAcentral
AGAGUUUGAUCAUGGCUCAGAAUCAACGCUGGCGGCGUGCCUCAGACAUGCAAGUCGAACGAUUAAAGCUCCCUUCGGGGAGUGCAUAAAGUGGCGCACGGGUGAGUAACACGUAAGUAAUCUACCUUCGAGUGGGGAAUAACGUCCGGAAACGGACGCUAAUACCGCAUAAUGCAGCGGCACCUAAUGGUGACAGUUGUUAAAGAUUUUAUCGCUUGAAGAGGAGCUUGCGGCAGAUUAGCUAGUUGGUAAGGUAAUGGCUUACCAAGGCUACGAUCUGUAACCGGUCUAAGAGGACGGUCGGUCACACUGACACUGAAUAACGGGUCAGACUCCUACGGGAGGCAGCAGUCGGGAAUUUUGGGGCAAUGGGCGAAAGCCUGACCCAGCAACGCCGCGUGAAGGAUGAAGUAUUUCGGUAUGUAAACUUCGAAAGAAUAGGAAGAAUUAAUGACGGUACUAUUUAUAAGGUCCGGCUAACUACGUGCCAGCAGCCGCGGUAAUACGUAGGGACCAAGCGUUGUUCGGAUUUACUGGGCGUAAAGGGCGCGUAGGCGGCAUAUUAAGUCAGCUGUGAGAUCUCCGAGCUUAACUCGGAACUGUCAGCUGAUACUGGAUGUGCUAGAGUGCAGAAGGGGCAAUCGGAAUUCUUGGUGUAGCGGUGAAAUGCGUAGAUAUCAAGAGGAACACCUGAGGUGAAGACGGGUUGCUGGGCUGACACUGACGCUGAUAGCGCGAAAGCCAGGGGAGCAAACGGGAUUAGAUACCCCGGUAGUCCUGGCCCUAAACGAUGAAUACUUGGUGUCUGGAGUUAUUAGUGCUCCGGGUGCCGUCGCUAACGUUUUUAGUAUUCCGCCUGGGGAGUACGCUCGCAAGAGUGAAACUCAAAGGAAUUGACGG